AACGAACGUUGGCGGCGUGGCUUAGGCAUGCAAGUCGAACGAGAAAGUUUCCUUCGGGGAGCGAGUAUAGUGGCAAAAGGGUGAGUAAUGAUUAGUUAACCUACCCCUAAAACUGGGAUAACUACCCGAAAGGGUUGCUAAUACCGGAUGGUCUAUGAGAGAUGCAUAUCUUUUAUAGUAAAGGCGCUCGCAAGGGUGUCGAUUAGGGAGGGGAUUAAUUCCUAUUAGCUAGUUGGUGAGGUAAUGGCUCUACCAAGGCAUUGAUGGGUAACCGAUCUGAGAGGAUGACCGGUCACACUGGGACUGAGACACUGCCCAGACUCCUACGGGAGGCUGCAGUCGCGAAUAUUCCGCAAUGGACGCAAGUCUGACGGAGCGACGCCGCGUGUGGGAUGAAGGCCUUAGGGUUGUAAACCACUGUCACACUUUAAGAAAUCAAUUAGGGUAACUCCUAGUUGUUGACAAAGGAGUGGAAGGAAGUCACGGCUAACUACGUGCCAGCAGCCGCGGUAAAGUAGU
RNAcentral lists this ribosomal RNA (519 nucleotides) under uncultured bacterium. RNAcentral's name for it is "bacterial SSU rRNA". It matches the Rfam family "Bacterial small subunit ribosomal RNA", at positions 29 to 528 of the family's 1533-position model. The record is from RNAcentral.